This 800-nucleotide ribosomal RNA is filed under the name uncultured eukaryote. Its description in RNAcentral is "SSU rRNA". It matches the Rfam family "Eukaryotic small subunit ribosomal RNA", at positions 21 to 835 of the family's 1831-position model. The record is from RNAcentral.
AGUCAUAUGCUUGUCUCAAAGACUAAGCCAUGCAUGUCUAAGCAUAAAUGAAUUCAUAGUGAAGCCGCGAAUAGCUCAUUACAACAGCCAUCGUUUAAUGGAUAUAGUUUUACAUGGAUAACUGUGGUAAUUCUACAGCUAAUACACGCAUCAAAUGUUCUCCUAACCGGAGAACAGCGUUUGUUACUUCAAACCAAUCGGACUCCGGUCUGAAAUCAAGUGAUAUUGAACAAUUUAGCUGAUCGCACGGUCUGAGAACCGGCGACAUAUCCUUCAAAUGUCUGCCUUAUCAACUUUCGAUGGUAGAUUAUGCGCCUACCAUGGUUGUAACGGGUAACGGAGAAUCAGGGUUUGAUUCCGGAGAGGGAGCCUGAGAAACGGCUACCACAUCCAAGGAAGGCAGCAGGCACGCAAAUUACCCACUCCCGGCACGGGGAGGUAGUGACGAAAAAUAACAAGCUGGUCUCAAUGAGUUCCGGCAUUGUAAUGGGAACAAUUUAAAUCAUUUAUCGAGGAUCUAUUGGAGGGCAAGUCUGGUGCCAGCAGCCGCGGUAAUUCCAGCUCCAAUAGCGUAUAUUAAAGUUGUUGAGGUUAAAAAGCUCGUAGUUGGAUCUAGGAUUAGGGCUACGGUCGUUCAGCUUGGACGUACUGUAUGUCCGACUCCUUUUCUCCAGUAUUCGAUUGUUGCUCUUAAAUGAGUGACUCUAGUUGCUGGAACCUUUACCUUGAAAAAUUGAAGUGCUCAAAGCAGGUUUCUGCCUGAACAUUGCUGCAUGGGAUAAAUAGAAAUAAGGAUUUCC